Molecule: long non-coding RNA, 3473 nt
Organism: Betta splendens (Siamese fighting fish)
Lineage: Eukaryota; Metazoa; Chordata; Actinopteri; Anabantiformes; Osphronemidae
Exons: 2
Source: RefSeq, a predicted model, not a curated record
UGCUGCUGCCUUUGUGGCUGAGUGUUUAAUAGCCGUUGUCCCGUGGAUUCAUUCCCAUUUGCAGCUGCAGCAUUCAGUGGGAUUGACUUUAAGUACAGCUGAGCUGUGAUGAAGGGCUGUUUCUGCAGCGUGACUCAUAUUUCUAAUAAUAGUGGUAAACAGGUUAAGCAGAGGAGAAUGCGUCUGAGUCGCUCUCACGGGGUUUCAUUCAAAUAGCAAUAAUGGACAGAUAUGCAUUAAUGUGUGGAGUUAUAUCAGCUGACGGUGCCAGUGCAUUCCUACACUAUAAGUGGAGACAGUUGGAGGUUGGUCUCUACUUCCUCUCUAGCCGCGGGCACAAAGUGAACUUCCUGUCCCUCCGAGCACGCGCCUAAAAAACACACCUCGCGUCGGACGUCCCAAAAUUAAAGGAUGGCCUUGUUUUCCAUCACCUUUGGUCUCCUCCCCGUGUCUCCGGUUGGCUCGACAUCCAGGAGGAGAGAAACGACGGAGCGAGGGGGGAGAAAGUGCUGAUGCACAGUGAGAGCUGGACAGGGAUUUAAUUGAUCACUCCUUCAGGAAGUGCGGGAGGGGGGGGGGGAACAGGCGGGGAGGGUUAAUGGCAAAAAGAGGGGGCAUUCUGGGUAAUUCAUCGGAUUUAUGGGGGACAGAGGCAGAAGAGAUGGGCGCUCAGACAAGCAUAACUCAGUCACCGACAGUAAAUGAAAGGCCACGCGAUCCAUCACAGCACCAGGCAAAAUAUGUACUACAGGAACAAACAGAAUUUAAAGGCGGGGGUUUUUUAUGCAAGGAGAGAUGUUCAUCACAUUUCGGGACCGUGCGCGGAUCUGCGGCCUUCGCUGCGAAGCUCGGGUCGUGUCAGAGGCGUGUUUAUAGCGGAGCGGCUCCUUAUUCAGCCCCGGUUGACGCGCAAACACUUUUACUCCGAGGUCAAAAAAAAAAAAAAGUGCAGCGCUGGCAAUCUGGCGGCACUUAGAUUUACUGUGUUCGCUCAGACGGACUAAAAGAAGCGAGAGAGAGAGAGAGAGCGAUUAUCUAUCAAGGCCGCGUGGCGUGUCCGCGGGGAAGGUCGGCCUCCGGGUUUGCGCGCGCACGGAAUCAAUCAGCUGUUGUUGUUGUGAUUUAAUAGGAGAGCUUCAGCCGUCUCCCAGACCUCGGAUGCUCCACCCGACGAGCAAUUCAUCUGAACCCCACUGGAGGCACAUUAGGCGUCACUCGGCUCCAUGACUGUGUAAGUGGGGCACCGGCUAAAACCUGCAGGGAGUCUGCAGCGCAUACAAAUGAACCGGAGCGCGGCCCGGCGGUUCAUCUGAAAGGCAAACACGUGCCUUUAAUUACACGCGUCGAACGUUGGCGCGACACGCUAAUUACGAGCGGGCACGCGUGGGCUGCGCAUGUUGGGGUCCACGCACACCUGUUCUGCCUCCCGCUCGCGGCGAGCAGCGCUGCGCGAGCGCAUCCCGGCAUCUUUGGGCUGCGGCCGAAUCGAUGCCUUUUAAUUACCAGGGGCCCGGAGCCGCGGUCGAUACGGCUGACGAGAGGCAGCGCGCGCGCAUGCGCGCGCGAGAGAGGGACGCUUCGGGCGGUGAUUGAUGCGCUCUACUCGCAGCGAGCCGUCCUGCAGAUGUGCCGUUGGGCCUGAUUAAUCCGGGGUGAAUCCCGCAGGUUUAGAAGCGUUGGGGAAGAACAAACAGGAAACGCCCACUGUCAAAUCAGCCUCAGUCCACGAACGAUGACGUGCUGCAGCAUAAACAGCUCCCACACGCGCCCGUUACAGGCGGCAAGAAGAGCAGCGAGCGUAAACCUGCAGACUGAAUGAAGAGCAUCACCCAUUAAAGCGUGGCUGUAACAUUUUGACCAGUUCCAAUUUGAAGACAUUAAAAUCCUAUUAGGUGCACUCGUGUUCCUCCGUCAAGGCAGUAAUUGGUCCCCGAGGAGCGUCGCUGUCACUUUAUCAUUUUACGCCUUUAUGGGGGGACCAUCCUGACGCUGGCCAGGUCCCAGUGGAGAGGACGGAUCUAUGCAUUGAUAAACACAACCUCUGCUUCAUCAUUCACCAGCAGGUAGAAAGCCUGAGGGAAGCCAAUUCGGAUUAGUGCCAGCACUUAAAAAAUGAGUCCAAGAGUAAAUUAACUCAGGCCGCAUUUUCCCAAUAUAUAACUUUAUUUAAAAUAUUGUUACAAUUUAUUACUCUACACAACAUUUUCAAAGCUUUGUUCAUUUGUCUUAUAUUGGUUAGUAAAGGUUUUUCUUCUUUUUAAGAUAUAAAACUCCACUUUGCCUAGUUCUGCAGGUGUUAUUCCAUGUCUUUAGACACUUAGUAAAUGUGACACCAGCUGUUUUGUUUCAUUGUGUGGUUAUCGUAACCUCCGUACGUCGCCGCCCAUAAAACUAAUGCUGCCAGCGGCUGCUGUUGUGCGCUGACAUUACUUAAUUUUUUAUCAUUUCUGCUUAAAUAAAUAAAGGUUUUGAUUUGGAGAAAAAGGUGUGCGUUUUGUCCAAAGGAUGCUCUUUUUUAAAAUACCUAUUUACAGAUUAUGUCGAAGACAGACAAACAAGGUUCUCAAUUAAUGUUGUUGCCUACUUGCUAUGAAAAAGCCCUGUGUUUUAAAAUGAACAGAACUUAAUUACACAAAGGCUAACACUUUAUAACCAGCACUUACAUCCACCCUUCAGUUCAUAGGUCGGAUUUUUCAGUUUACACGAAGACGCCAGCAGCUGAUUUGCAUUCCAGGGGUUGAUGAACGUCAAGUCUACGGAGCUGCAGAUGGUGAGACUAACGCAGCAGCUCUGACUAGACUGUCACCAGGAAGAGGCUGAUGGAGCAGCCUCAUCAGAACCACUUCAAACGCUGUGAACCGCACUGCGCUCAGAUUCUCACAGCCAAGAUCUGAAGCAACAUUAAGCACCGAAUGCUAUGACAAUUGAUGCCAAUUUGGUGCCCAAGCUUCAGAAAACUGAUGUGUUACUAUAGUAACUGCAUCAAUUACAUGAUCAGAACAGCAGUGUUUGGGAGGAACACGCAGUUAGAGGCGCAUGUGCAGCCCUGACACGCAGAAAUGUUUAAGUUUUUAUAAACUCCCACUAUGUUUGUUGCACAAUCCAGCAUUACUCCGUUAUCACUAAGGUCCUGUGUGAAAUUCAAUCGUGCUUAUGUAAAUAAGUCAUUUACCUACAAGCCCGGACUGUCCAGCAUCUCAGACACAGCACAGUGUACACUGACGAAGAAAAACACAACGCAAACACAGGCCGACCACACAAAGACAUGCUUCUUAACAUUCCUGUCAUCCUCCCGCUUUCGCUUAAACCCCGUCUCUGACAUUUAUGUCACCGGCGCCCAAAAGGGACAACCGGCGGCACGCACACUUGCCUGUGACUGACAUGAUGAGUACGAUGGCACCAGGCAAAGACAAGACCAAAAAAAAAAAAAAAGAAAAAAGCUGUCUAAAGCCUAUUCACAGCAGCAGCACAAG